RNAcentral lists this ribosomal RNA (399 nucleotides) under uncultured bacterium. RNAcentral describes it as "partial 16S ribosomal RNA". It matches the Rfam family "Bacterial small subunit ribosomal RNA", at positions 360 to 776 of the family's 1533-position model. The record is from RNAcentral.
AAUACUGCACGAAGGGGUAAACCCUGAUGCACCGACGCCGCGUGAUUGAUGACGUCUUUCGGUAUGCAACGCUUUAGCAGCAGGGACGAAAAUGUCGGUACCUGUCUAAGAAGUCUCUGCUAACUACCUCCCAGCAGCCGCGGUAAUACGUAGGGGGCAAACCUUAUCCGGAUUUACUGGGUUUAAAGGGGGCGUCGGUGGUUCGGUAAGUCAGGUGUGAGAGCCCGGGGCUCAACCCCGGGAUUGCACUUGAAACUUUCGGACUUGAGUGCAGGAGAGGUAAGUGGAAUUCCUAGUGUAGAGGUGAAAUGCGUAGAUAUUAGGAGGAACACCAGUGGCGAAGGCGGCUUACUGGACUGUGACUGACACUGAGGCUCGAAAGCGUGGAGAGCAAACAGG